UACGGAAGGCAGCAGGUGGGGAAUAUUGCACAAUGGGCGCAAGCCUGAUGCAGCCAUGCCGCGUGUAUGAAGAAGGCCUUCGGGUUGUAAAGUACUUUCAGUACGUAGAGGAAGGUGUUAAGGUUAAUAACCUUAGCAAUUGACGUUAGCGACAGAAGAAGCACCGGCUAACUCCGUGCCAGCAGCCGCGGUAAUACGGAGGGUGCGAGCGUUAAUCGGAAUUACUGGGCGUAAAGGGCACGCAGGCGGUUAAUUAAGUUGGAUGUGAAAUCCCCGGGCUUAACCUGGGAAUGGCAUUCAAGACUGGUUAGCUAGAGUCUUGUAGAGGGGGUAGAAUUCCAUGUGUAGCGGUGAAAUGCGUAGAGAUGUGGAGGAAUACCGGUGGCGAAAGGCGGCCCCCUGGACAAAGGACUGACGCUCGAUGUGCGAAAGCGUGGGGAGCAAACAGGAUUAGAUA
Molecule: ribosomal RNA, 457 nt
Filed under: uncultured bacterium
Lineage: Bacteria
Description: bacterial SSU rRNA
Rfam family: Bacterial small subunit ribosomal RNA
Source: RNAcentral